UACGUAGGGUGCGAGCGUUAAUCGGAAUUACUGGGCGUAAAGCGUGCGCAGGCGGUUAUUCAAGACAGAUGUGAAAUCCCCGGGCUCAACCUGGGAACUGCAUUUGUGACUGCAUAGCUGGAGAGCGGCAGAGGGGGAUGGAAUUCCGCGUGUAGCAGUGAAAUGCGUAGAUAUGCGGAGGAACACCGAUGGCGAAGGCAAUCCCCUGGGCCUGCACUGACGCUCAUGCACGACAGCGUGGGGAGGAAACAGG
Molecule: ribosomal RNA, 253 nt
Filed under: uncultured bacterium
Lineage: Bacteria
Description: partial 16S ribosomal RNA
Rfam family: Bacterial small subunit ribosomal RNA
Source: RNAcentral